Molecule: long non-coding RNA, 1495 nt
Filed under: Helianthus annuus (common sunflower)
Lineage: Eukaryota; Viridiplantae; Streptophyta; Magnoliopsida; Asterales; Asteraceae
Description: hypothetical non coding rna
Source: RNAcentral
UUCAUUUGUCUCCUCCUGAUACCUCACGCCAACUAUCUCCCUCUAAAAAUCAAUAUUGCUUAUUGAUUUUAUAAUAAUAAUAAUAAUAAUAAAGUCUUGCCAUGUUUUAAGUGUUUUAACCCUUGACCGCUGAUACCCUGUCCGACUGACGUAGGGCCCCGUAACGUAUGUCAAGGCUCUGCCUAAAUUCGUUGGGGUUCUGUCUCGUGACGUAGGGAUAAAGUAGAAUUGGGUUACUAUACUUAAUGUGGGUGUACUAUAUAUUUUAUUAAAUAAUCCAGGAGCUGUACCCAAAAUAUAACAACCCUCCCGAAUAUUUUUCUGACACCCUACACUUCCUGAAAUACAUCCCAUACGUGAAAACCGAGUCCGAGUUAUAAUAUAGUAUUAAAAAUAAAUGGAAAACAAGAAGAAGUAAGUUGAGGCGGGCCGCGUAGACCCACCCCAAACUUAACGCGGGCCGUGUGAGGGUGUAACUGGACUCCGCUGAAUUCUUAAGUCCAGGCGGGCCGCGUAAGAUCACACCGUUAGUUUACGCGGGCCGCGAGUGUCCCAAUUGGUGGCGCAGCCCGGUGAUGACACGUGUCAUCAUCGUGGCGAGGCUAGAUCAUGACCAGGACAAGCUAUACGUUGACCUGGAGUCAACGUGGGCCGCAUAAGCCUUGCCUGUUCUUUACGCGGGCCGCGUGGGAACCAGUUUCAGCAACUAUAUAAAGAACGCAUCGGAUUUCAAUUCAGUUCGCUCACAUCUUUCUUUCUAAACGAAUUUCUGAAGUAGUAGAGAGUAUAGUUGGGUAUUAUACCCCUAAUUAGCAAAGCUCUGCCUCGUUGUAAGUAUCAUAACCCCUGGAUACGUAUUAGGUACUCUGCCCGAUUGAUCUAGGGUUCCGUAACGGCUGUCGUGGUUCUGCCCGACGUAGUCGUUGGAAUGCCGUCUCGGGGAGGACUAUAACCAGGGAAUCACAGAGGAAAGCCCUAUAAUAGCAAUGUGAGUAAUCUCCUUUUUGUAAACUGUUUUUACAAAACCUUAAAUACCUUUUCAUGCGAAUGACAGUUAUUGAGUAUUUGUAAAGGAUACAAUUAUAGUGGGUAUGUUGGGGUUUUGUAUACAAAAUUGGUUACUGGCGUGGUAACAUCCCAUAAGUUGAGUAUGACCGUACCACUGAUGUUAAUUGUGAUGUCUUGGAUACAAAUGUAAUUGCGGAUGUGCCCUCAAUACUGCAAAUUGGUUUUUAUUUAAACUUGAUUAAACUGGGAUUCACUCACCAGUAUUUCCUGCUGAUAAAAUGUUUUAAACACGUGUUUCAGGUAACUUAGUGUGAAGCCAAUAAAAGCCAGCUGGAGAGCACUGAAGGCUUGGAAAAGUGGCUAUAAAGUUACCUAAAAUAAAAUAGUUGUUUUUAUUAAUAAAAAUAGGAUUUAUUCCUAUGAAAGUGUGUAUACUGAAAACUUGGGUUUUACCCAUGUGUUUAAUAUUAUGAAAAUAUGGUGGUUU